This 253-nucleotide ribosomal RNA is filed under the name uncultured bacterium. RNAcentral describes it as "partial 16S ribosomal RNA". It matches the Rfam family "Bacterial small subunit ribosomal RNA", at positions 524 to 776 of the family's 1533-position model. The record is from RNAcentral.
UACGUAGGGUGCAAGCGUUGUCCGGAAUCAUUGGGCGUAAAGAGCGUGUAGGCGGCCUGGUAAGUCCGCUGUGAAAGUCCAGGGCUCAACCCUGGGAUGCCGGUGGAUACUGCGAGGCUAGAGUCCGGAAGGGGCGAGUGGAAUUCCUGGUGUAGCGGUGAAAUGCGCAGAUAUCAGGAGGAACACCAAUGGCGAAGGCAGCUCGCUGGGACGGUACUGACGCUGAGACGCGAAAGCGUGGGGAGCAAACAGG